Molecule: ribosomal RNA, 467 nt
Filed under: uncultured bacterium
Lineage: Bacteria
Description: partial 16S ribosomal RNA
Rfam family: Bacterial small subunit ribosomal RNA
Source: RNAcentral
GACGAACGCUGGCGGCGUGCUUAACACAUGCAAGUCGAACGGCAACGCCCUGCUUCUUUCGCGUUCUCGAGUGGCUAACGGGCGAGUAACACGUGAGUAACCUGCCCUUGACUUUGGGAUAACUUCAGGAAACUGGGGCUGAUACCGGAUCAGAGCUCCUUCUGCAUGGAGGGGGUGGGAUAGUUUCGGCGGUUGGGGAUGGAAUCGCGGGUUAUCAGCUUGGUGGUGGGGUAGUGGCUUACACAGGCUUGGACGGGUAGCCGGCCUGAGAGGGUGACCGGCCACAUUGGGACUGAGAUACGGCCCGGACGCCUACGGGGGGCAGCAGUGGGGAAUAUUGCACAAUGGGCGGAAGCCUGAUGCAGCAACGCCGCGUGCGGGAUGACGGCCUUCGGGUUGUAAACCGCUUUCGCCUGUGACGAAGCGUGAGGGACGGGAAUGGGUAAAGAAGCACCGGCGAACUACGU